Molecule: ribosomal RNA, 253 nt
Filed under: uncultured bacterium
Lineage: Bacteria
Description: partial 16S ribosomal RNA
Rfam family: Bacterial small subunit ribosomal RNA
Source: RNAcentral
UACGGAGGAUCCGAGCGUUAUCCGGAUUUAUUGGGUUUAAAGGGAGCGUAGGCGGGUUGUUAGGUCAGUUGUGAAAGUUUGCGGCUCAACCGUAAAAUUGCAGUUGAUACUGGCAUCCUUGAGUACAGUAGAGGUAGGCGGAAUUCGUGGUGUAGCGGUGAAAUGCUUAGAUAUCACGAAGAACUCCGAUUGCGAAGGCAGCCUGCUGGACUGUAACUGACGCUGAUGCUCGAAAGUGUGGGUAUCAAACAGG